RNAcentral lists this ribosomal RNA (340 nucleotides) under Petropedetes perreti (Perret's water frog). RNAcentral describes it as "partial 12S ribosomal RNA". It matches the Rfam family "Bacterial small subunit ribosomal RNA", at positions 870 to 1380 of the family's 1533-position model. Lineage: Eukaryota; Metazoa; Chordata; Amphibia; Anura; Petropedetidae. The record is from RNAcentral.
CGCCAGGGUAUUACGAGCCUCAGCUUAAAACCCAAAGGACUUGAGGGUGUCCCACCCAUCUAGAGGAGCCUGUUCUAUAAUCGAUACCCCCCGCUAUACCCUACCACUUUUAGCCUAUCAGCCUGUAUACCUCCGUCGUAAGUUUACCGUGUGAACGUCUAUAGUGAGCUAAAUGACUUUUCGCCAAUACGUCAGGUCAAGGUGCAGCCCAUGAAGUGGCAAGCAAUGGGCUACAAUUUCUAACCUAGAACAAACGGAUGAACUGUAAUGAAACAGUUUAGAAGGAGGAUUUAGUAGUAAAAAGAAAACAUAAGUGUUCUUUUUAAUUUGGCACUGGGAC